RNAcentral lists this ribosomal RNA (409 nucleotides) under Hazenella coriacea. RNAcentral describes it as "partial 23S ribosomal RNA". It matches the Rfam family "Bacterial large subunit ribosomal RNA", at positions 1 to 399 of the family's 2925-position model. The record is from RNAcentral. Lineage: Bacteria; Bacillati; Bacillota; Bacilli; Caryophanales; Thermoactinomycetaceae.
GUAGGAUAAGCUACUAAGGGCACACGGAGGAUGCCUUGGCGCCAGAAGCCGAUGAAGGACGGGACGAACACCGAUAUGCUUCGGGGAGCUGUAAGUGAGCUACGAUCCGGAGAUUUCCGAAUGGGGAAACCCACUAGUCUGAAGGACUAGUACCGCCACCUGAAUCCAUAGGGUGGUUGGAGGCAUACCAGGGGAACUGAAACAUCUAAGUACCCUGAGGAAGAGAAAGCAAAUGCGAUUCCCUGAGUAGCGGCGAGCGAAACGGGAUUAGCCCAAACCACGAGUCUAGACUCGUGGGGUUGUAGGGCGUCUCACAUGGAGUUACAAAGGUGAGUAGUAAGUGAAGUGGUUCUGGAAUGACCCGCCAUAGCAGGUAACAGCCCUGUAACUGAAACUGCUCACUCUCCGA